CCUACGAGGGGCAGCAGUAGGGAAUAUUGCUCAAUGGGGGAAACCCUGAAGCAGCAACGCCGCGUGGAGGAUGAAGGUUUUCGGAUUGUAAACUCCUUUUGUUAGAGAAGAGAAUGACGGUAUCUAACGAAUAAGCACCGGCUAACUCCGUUCCAGCAGCCGCGGUAAUACGGAGGGUGCAAGCGUUACUCGGAAUCACUGGGCGUAAAGAGCGAGUAGGCGGGAUAGCAAGUCAGAUGUGAAAUCCUCUGGCUUAACCAUAGAACUGCAUUUGAAACUGUUAUUCUAGAGUAUGGGAGAGGUAGGUGGAAUUCUUGGUGUAGGGGUGAAAUCCGUAGAGAUCAAGAGGAAUACUCAUUGCGAAGGCGACCUGCUAGAACAUAACUGACGCUGAUGCGCGAAAGCGUGGGGAGCAAACAGGAUUAGAUACCCGGGUAGUC
Molecule: ribosomal RNA, 440 nt
Filed under: uncultured bacterium
Lineage: Bacteria
Description: partial 16S ribosomal RNA
Rfam family: Bacterial small subunit ribosomal RNA
Source: RNAcentral